RNA transcript from Phoenix dactylifera (date palm), 2275 nucleotides. It is a transcript of the gene named splicing factor-like protein, with no coding region annotated. NCBI's taxonomy places the organism in Eukaryota, Viridiplantae, Streptophyta, Magnoliopsida, Arecales, Arecaceae. The record is from RefSeq and is a predicted model, not a curated record.
GAUGUGUAAGGCUUCUUAUCCCAAUCCCUGGCAACGAUACUCCCCUCAACCGCGGCUUGGAGAGAAAACCCUAGGCCCUCCGGCGACGAGGCCGGGCCGCUGGUUCCUCAUAUCAUCUCCUCUUCCUUCUCUCCGGCAAGGUCGAUCCGAGGCGGGAGGCGAUGUCUUCGACCCUUCUCGAGGUGACGCGGGCCGCCCACGAGGACGUGGAGCGGCUCGAGCGGCUUGUCGUGAAGGAGCUCCAGAGGGAGCCGGCCAACAAUCGGGAGCGCCUCUUCCAGAAUCACCGCGUCCGGCACAUGAUUGAUCUAAUCAGGAUCACCAGCGACAAGCUCGUCGAGAUAUAUGAGGACAAAGACAAUGCGAGGCGAGAUGAGAUUGCGGCGCUGGGAGCGGGUGGCCCGAACAAUUGUUUUCCUGCUUUCUAUGACCGUUUGAAGGAGAUUCGCGACUACCAUAGGCGACAUCCAGCUGCACGCGUGGUUGAUGCGAAUGAAGAAUUCGAAGAGUUACUGAAGGAAGAGCCACAAAUUGAAUUCAGCGGAGAGGAAGCUUUUGGUCGGUACCUGGACGUGCAUGAAUUAUACAACAAGUACAUCAACUCAAAAUUUGGAGAGCCUAUGGAAUACUCUGUUUUCUUGGAGACAUUUUCUCAGACCCACAAAAUUCCUCGCAAUCUGAAGUUGACCAGGCAAUAUAGAGAAUAUUUGGAGCAUGUUCUGGAAUAUCUGAUUUCAUUUUUGGAGCGUACACAGCCCCUGCAAGACCUUGGGAGAAUAUUUACAAAGGUGGAGGCAGAGUUUGAAGAGCAGUGGGCUGAUGGUAAGGUACUUGGAUGGGAAAACAAGGGGACAGAAAAUGGGCAUGUUUCAUCACAAGAGUCUGUGAUCGAUCUUGAUUAUUACAGUACAGUGGAAGAACUUAUGGAAGUGGGCCCCGAAAAAUUGAAAGAGGCCUUGGCUGCUUGUGGAUUGAAAACUGGUGGUACACUUCAGCAGCGUGCAGAGCGCCUUUUUCUGACAAAGCACACACCCGUGGAGCAAUUAGACAGAAAACAUUUUGCUAAAGGUUCACGUGGUUUGGAGCAAAAUGGAGUUGCAGAAGAGACCAACUCUAAGAAGGAAAUUGCUUUAGUGGAGGCAAAGAUGCAACGGUUGUGUGAAUUGCUAAAAGAGACUAUCAUACAAACAAAGGAAAAUGUCAUAAAGAAACAAGCUUUGACUUAUGAGGAAAUGGAAGCUGAACGUGGAGAGGAAGAAAUACAAGCUGAUACUGAGAGUGAUGAUGAAGAGCAGCAAAUUUACAAUCCUCUGAAGUUGCCUAUGGGUUGGGAUGGCAAGCCUAUACCCUACUGGCUUUACAAGCUUCAUGGUCUUGGCCAGGAAUUCAAGUGUGAAAUAUGUGGGAAUUAUAGUUAUUGGGGUCGGAGAGCAUUUGAGCGUCAUUUCAAGGAGUGGAGGCACCAGCAUGGAAUGCGUUGUCUAAAUAUACCUAACACUAAGAACUUCAAUGAAAUUACAUCUAUUCAGGAAGCAAAGGAUCUGUGGGAGAAAAUACAAGAACGGCAAGGAUUGAUCAAGUGGCGCCCAGACCUUGAAGAAGAGUAUGAAGACAGGGAGGGUAACAUCUAUAAUAGGAGAACAUACACUGACCUGCAGCGCCAAGGCCUCAUCUAACAGAGUGCUGUUUAAAGCUUGCGUGAGAUGGAGGGGUGUCUGCUGAAGUUUACAUCAGACAUUGCUUCAAGAAGCAGGGCAACUGGGGGAAGCUUUUCAAAUUGUCUGUGAAACAAAAAGUUCACUAUGAGGGGCCUAACAUGUGCAGAUGUGCUUGAUUCGCCAGCCAAUGAGGGUGGCCGCCGUCAAGUGCUGUUCCUUCUUUUUAAUGUUUCAGCGGUCAUUUGGUUUUCAUAGCAUGUGUUUACCAUAAUAUUGCAGGGUAAGCAUUGCAACAGUCUACCAUGAAGAUUAUAGCGAAUGAAUUACACUGGUCCUCGUCAUUCUGCAGCUGAAGCGACAACCUGCUCCAGGCAUUGUUAAAAUCAAGGAUUUGGGACUUGGUAUCUGCAUCUGCAGCAUCAGGCAUGUCGCGUUCCCGAGCUUGUAGGGACGCUUUUGCCUCUCAUACUGUUUUGAGUCCAUUUCCUUGUCCAUUCCCCCAGAGUAGUCUGAAUCAAAAUGCCAACUCUUCUUUGCUAGAAGUAUUUCUACUGGAUGGUUGCUAUAUAGAACUAUAUUUUACAAUAGUUAAAAGAUUGCGAAGGCCUUCGGUCGAA